Molecule: ribosomal RNA, 301 nt
Filed under: uncultured bacterium
Lineage: Bacteria
Description: partial 16S ribosomal RNA
Rfam family: Bacterial small subunit ribosomal RNA
Source: RNAcentral
CAGCCGCCGCGGGAAAACCGAGGGUGCAAGCGUUAAUCGGAAUUACUGGGCGUAAAGCGCGCGUAGGUGGUUUGUUAAGUUGAAUGUGAAAUCCCCGGGCUCAACCUGGGAACUGCAUCCAAAACUGGCAAGCUAGAGUAGGGCAGAGGGUGGUGGAAUUUCCUGUGUAGCGGUGAAAUGCGUAGAUAUAGGAAGGAACACCAGUGGCGAAGGCGACCACCUGGGCUCAUACUGACACUGAGGUGCGAAAGCGUGGGGAGCAAACAGGAUUAGAUACCCCAGUAGUCCCUGUCUCUUAUAC